RNAcentral lists this ribosomal RNA (1332 nucleotides) under Triticum aestivum (bread wheat). RNAcentral's name for it is "partial small subunit ribosomal RNA". Lineage: Eukaryota; Viridiplantae; Streptophyta; Magnoliopsida; Poales; Poaceae. The record is from RNAcentral.
AUGACUCUAGAGAAGGAUGAGAUGGAUGACGCCAAAUCGAACUCCAUGCUUAGGGAGACGACUGAAGAUGAUGAUGGAGGUGACGCCUAUGAUCGAUGCCAUCCAAGUUCGCGGAGUAAAAACGGUCAAGCUCAAACGGCAAUUGGUCCCUUUCAAAGAGAGGUAGGACCCGCUCCCACGCCGCCGAGCUUACGGAGGUCGGAGGGGCACUAUAAUAAGAGCAUCACCAACAGCCGCGCUAAACUAGCGCCGCGCCGCAAAUUAGGCCGUUUUAGCGCGCGCGCAACAUGGCGGGUCGCUCCAGCGGGCGCGCAAAAACGGCGCGCGCGCUAUAACGAGUUGGGCGCGCGGUCGGAAGCACUAUCCCGCGCGGCACACUCGAGCGCUCGCUCUCCCACUUCCUCUCCCACUUUCACCCCCAUCCGUUCGCCCCCUCCCCUCGGCGACCGUUCAGGCGCUUCCCCAGCCUAUCCCCGCGCUGCCGUGCUUCCGCCCCAUCCCCUCCUGGUCCCGCCGGCCCUCCCGCACCUCCGUCGUCCGAGGAACAGCGCCCGAGCGCUCGCUGCCGCGCCGCGCCCGCAAGGUAUUCGACAAAACGCCUGCAAGAUGAGUUCGUCGUAUGAUUCUUCCGAAGAAGAAUUUGAUAUGGAAGAGGAGGAGGAUCUUGCAAUGAUCAUAGCUAGGCAUAUCAAUAAAAAACCGAAGCACGGUGGUUCGGUUAUGGGUCGGGAGAAAAUUUGGAGAGAUAGGAUUGAUGAAGAACAAUUUUGUGGAGAAUCCCACAUACCCGGAGUCGCACCACGCCGUGCUCAAUCUCACGUGCAAGCUAAUGAAGAAAAGGCAGCACUCGGGCCACGCCGGCGCUGUUCGCCUGAGGGCCGCGGCGCAGCGGAGCGCAUGGAGCUUGCUGACGAUAAUGCGCUAGAGCUGUACGACGGACAGGCGUUCGUGCAGGUGGCCGCUACCGCCGAACCCGCUGGGCUGUGCGCGUUCAGGUACCUGCGCAGGAACCAGAACAUGUUCAACGGUGAGAAUUGGCGGCGGUUCGUCGCGCUGAGGACCAAAGGUAGAUCGACAAAGAAGAUGUCGUUCAAGCUGAAGCACCUGCUCGGUAUUCAUGGAGCAGCAUUGGGUUUUAAAAUGUUCAGUCCCAUUAGAGUCAACGACAGGUGUAUCGUGCGGUGGCUGAGAUCAUCCCUUCAGAUUAUGAUCAUGAGCACGUCGAGGCUACGGCGGGAAGGAGGAUGCCCGACAAUACAAGUGGGACGUCGUGUUGAAGGGCAAGGACAUUUUUUUUUUCUUCCGUUGCAACGCACGAGCAUGUUUUGCUAG